UAGGGAAUAUUGGACAAUGGGCGAAAGCCUGAUCCAGCAACGCCGCGUGCGCGAUGACGGCCUUCGGGUUGUAAAGCGCUUUUAGAGGAGAUGUGAAAGGACAGUAUCCCCAGAAUAAGCCUCGGCGAACUACGUGCCAGCAGCCGCGGUAAAACGUAGGAGGCUAGCGUUAUCCGGAUUUAUUGGGCGUAAAGCGCGUGCAGGCAGUUUGAUAAGUUGGAUGUGAAAUCUCCCGGCUUAACUGGGAGCGGUCGUUCAAAACUAUCAGACUAGAGAAUGGGAGAGUAAGGUGGAAUUCCGGGUGUAGUGGUGAAAUGCGUAGAUAUCCGGAGGAACACCAGUGGCGAAAGCGGCUUUCUAGACCAUUUCUGACGCUAAGACGCGAAAUCUAGGGUAGCAAACGG
This 404-nucleotide ribosomal RNA is filed under the name uncultured bacterium. RNAcentral describes it as "bacterial SSU rRNA". It matches the Rfam family "Bacterial small subunit ribosomal RNA", at positions 355 to 775 of the family's 1533-position model. The record is from RNAcentral.